GAGGGUAUAGCUCAAGUGAUAGAGCACAUGCUUAGCAAGCAUGAGGUACUGAGUUCAAUUCUCUGUACCUCCU
This 73-nucleotide transfer RNA is filed under the name Camelus bactrianus (Bactrian camel). It matches the Rfam family "tRNA". Rfam says of the family: Transfer RNA (tRNA) molecules are approximately 80 nucleotides in length. Their secondary structure includes four short double-helical elements and three loops (D, anti-codon, and T loops). The record is from Rfam by way of RNAcentral. Lineage: Eukaryota; Metazoa; Chordata; Mammalia; Artiodactyla; Camelidae. RNAcentral also lists the same sequence under 2 other names.